This 460-nucleotide ribosomal RNA is filed under the name uncultured bacterium. Its description in RNAcentral is "partial 16S ribosomal RNA". It matches the Rfam family "Bacterial small subunit ribosomal RNA", at positions 338 to 795 of the family's 1533-position model. The record is from RNAcentral.
CCUACGGGGGGCAGCAGUGAGGAAUAUUGGUCAAUGGGCGAGAGCCUGAACCAGCCAAGUCGCGUGAAGGAUGAAGGAUCUAUGGUUUGUAAACUUCUUUUAUAUGGGAAUAAAGUGAGGAACGUGUUCCUUUUUGUAUGUACCAUAUGAAUAAGCAUCGGCUAACUCCGUGCCAGCAGCCGCGGUAAUACGGAGGAUGCGAGCGUUAUCCGGAUUUAUUGGGUUUAAAGGGUGCGUAGGUGGUUAAUUAAGUCAGCGGUGAAAGUUUGUGGCUCAACCAUAAAAUUGCCGUUGAAACUGGUUGUCUUGAGUAUAUAUGAGGUAGGCGGAAUGCGUGGUGUAGCGGUGAAAUGCAUAGAUAUCACGCAGAACUCCGAUUGCGAAGGCAGCUUACUAAACUAUAACUGACACUGAAGCACGAAAGCGUGGGGAUCAAACAGGAUUAGAUACCCGGGUAGUC